CCUACGGGAGGCAGCAGUAGGGAAUCUUCCGCAAUGGACGCAAGUCUGACGGAGCAACGCCGCGUGAGUGAUGAAGGUUUUCGGAUCGUAAAACUCUGUUGUUAGGGAAGAACAAGUGCCGUUCGAAAGGGCGGCACCUUGACGGUACCUAACGAGAAAGCCACGGCUAACUACGUGCCAGCAGCCGCGGUAAU
RNAcentral lists this ribosomal RNA (194 nucleotides) under uncultured bacterium. Its description in RNAcentral is "partial 16S ribosomal RNA". It matches the Rfam family "Bacterial small subunit ribosomal RNA", at positions 338 to 524 of the family's 1533-position model. The record is from RNAcentral.